Molecule: ribosomal RNA, 253 nt
Filed under: uncultured bacterium
Lineage: Bacteria
Description: partial 16S ribosomal RNA
Rfam family: Bacterial small subunit ribosomal RNA
Source: RNAcentral
UACGUAGGUGGCAAGCGUUGUCCGGAAUUAUUGGGCGUAAAGCGCGCGCAGGCGGCCUUUUAAGUCUGAUGUGAAAGCCCACGGCUCAACCGUGGAAGGUCAUUGGAAACUGAAAGGCUUGAGUACAGAAGAGGAAAGCGGAAUUCCACGUGUAGCGGUGAAAUGCGUAGAGAUGUGGAGGAACACCAGUGGCGAAGGCGGCCCACUGGCUCGGUACUGACGCUGAGGUGCGAAAGCGUGGGGAGCAAACAGG